CUACGGGAUGCUGCAGUGGGGAAUAUUGCACAAUGGGCGCAAGCCUGAUGCAGCCAUGCCACGUGUAUGAAGAAGGCCUUCGGGUUGUAAAGUACUUUCAGCGGGGAGGAAGGGAGUAAAGUUAAUACUUUUGCUCAUUGACGUUACCCGCAGAAGAAGCACCGGCUAACUCCGUGCCAGCAGCCGCGGUAAUACGGAGGGUGCAAGCGUUAAUCGGAAUUACUGGGCGUAAAGCGCACGCAGGCGGUUUGUUAAGUCAGAUGUGAAAUCCCCGGGCUCAACCUGGGAACUGCAUCUGAUACUGGCAAGCUUGAGUCUCGUAGAGGGGGGUAGAAUGCCAGGUGUAGCGGUGAAAUGCGUAGAGAUCUGGAGGAAUACCGGUGGCGAAGGCGGCCCCCUGGACGAAGACUGACGCUCAGGUGCGAAAGCGUGGGGAGCAAACAGGAUUAGAUACCCGGGUAGUC
RNAcentral lists this ribosomal RNA (464 nucleotides) under uncultured bacterium. RNAcentral describes it as "partial 16S ribosomal RNA". It matches the Rfam family "Bacterial small subunit ribosomal RNA", at positions 339 to 795 of the family's 1533-position model. The record is from RNAcentral.